RNAcentral lists this transfer RNA (93 nucleotides) under Oscillospiraceae bacterium. RNAcentral describes it as "tRNA-Ser". It matches the Rfam family "tRNA". Rfam says of the family: Transfer RNA (tRNA) molecules are approximately 80 nucleotides in length. Lineage: Bacteria; Bacillati; Bacillota; Clostridia; Eubacteriales; Oscillospiraceae. The record is from RNAcentral.
GGAGAAGUACUCAAGUCUGGUUGAAGAGGCUCCCCUGCUAAGGGAGUAGGCUGAGAGAUCGGCGCGUGGGUUCGAAUCCCACCUUCUCCGCCA